RNAcentral lists this ribosomal RNA (261 nucleotides) under uncultured prokaryote. RNAcentral's name for it is "partial 16S ribosomal RNA". It matches the Rfam family "Bacterial small subunit ribosomal RNA", at positions 524 to 784 of the family's 1533-position model. The record is from RNAcentral.
UACGUAGGUGGCAAGCGUUAUCCGGAAUUAUUGGGCGUAAAGAGCGCGCAGGUGGUUGAUUAAGUCUGAUGUGAAAGCCCACGGCUUAACCGUGGAGGGUCGUUGGAAACUGGUCGACUUGAGUGCAGAAGAGGGAAGUGGAAUUCCAUGUGUAGCGGUGAAAUGCGUAGAGAUGUGGAGGAACACCAGUGGCGAAGGCGACUCUCUGGCCUGUAACUGACACUGAGGCGCGAAAGCGUGGGGAGCAAACAGGAUUAGAUA